Long non-coding RNA from Scophthalmus maximus (turbot), 866 nucleotides. RefSeq lists it as uncharacterized. NCBI's taxonomy places the organism in Eukaryota, Metazoa, Chordata, Actinopteri, Pleuronectiformes, Scophthalmidae. The record is from RefSeq and is a predicted model, not a curated record. The transcript has 3 exons.
GUGAGAGUAAGUGAUAGACGCCACUAGAGGGCGUCGGAGUCCAGGGCCUGGUGAGAAGAGACAAGUGCAGCUUCACAUGGACUAAUCCAACGAGGAGCAGAACGAACGUGAGGCGUCGUUGGUCCAGGAUGAUGUGGACGUUGGAUCACAAAGUGCAUUUACUCAGAUAGACCCAUCGAGUCACGUGCUGGAAGUCAUCACUGCUGAUGAAUAUGACACAGACACUGGGUCAUUGCUGGAGCUCCAUGAAGGGCCCAGGGCUGUGCAGACGUGUCCCCCAGCUGUGAGGCCCUCAGGCUGGGCAGCUGACAACAGGAGCAGCCCGCCGCCCUCCUGACUCCCGGUUCCCUCCCUCGUGGAGAGAGAAACGAAGCGAAGAGGAGAACGGGGAAAGGAGGCAAAGGAGGAUGUUGUCGUUCAUCUGGUUGAGACCAAAUCUCAUCAUCACCCGGCUCGCCAUGCGGUCAAGACGGGGCCCCCUGUUCUCCGGCAGGUCCUCGUGGACCCUGACCUCUGACCCUGUCACAGAGGAGGCCGGGCUGAAGAGGAAACAGAAACCAGAGCAGAACACGUUCACACUCCGGUGUCAUGGAGCUGAGAGGCGGAAAACGUGUCUGUCCGUGUGUGUGUGUGUGUGUGUGUGUGUGUGUGUGUGUGUGUGUGUGUGUGAGAGUGUGUGUGUUUGUGUGUGAGAGAGAUCAUCCUUGUUCCUUCCACAUAUUCCUGAACAUGCCGGGGAUCAGUGAAGCAUUAAUGGAGAAACAUGCUCAUACGGUACAUCACACACUCCCAUCAUACGACUACACAUGCAGUCAUGGAUUAAUAACCAUCAACAACACACACACACACACACACACACACACACA